CACGCUUUGGACAUAACCUCAGGGCUACAAAGCAAAAUACCCAGAGGCAGUGGAAAAACAUGGCGACAUUUAGAGUUCUAAAGAUCCAGAAUGGCUCUGCUUCUUUUCGGCAUACAUGCAUUCGUGACGGGUCACGCUCAACAACACUGGACAAAGGGCAAAUCUUUGGCUCUGGACUCCAGUUGUGUGCAUCUGGGGCUCCAGCAGAGCCUGAGAGCACGAUUUCCUAUAGAGACCAAAGGCACCCACACACAGUCAAAUGUCAAGCACAGAGGAGGGCGAGAGCUGAAGUCAAAAAAUGGGGAGGCGAAGACAAAGCACGUUUCACUAUGGUGAACUUUGGUGUGGCACACUGGAAAGGGCAGUGUUUAACUCUAUGACACUGAGAACUACCACGCACAUUCCUCCAAGGUCGUCUGAGGGAAGAAAAAAAAAAAAAAAAAGGCCCAGUCUGUUCCCCUCUAAACCACGUUUCCAUGUAAUUUAGUGCAUUUGCUACAGCGCACUUAUCAUUGGGGUAAAGCUUAAGGGUAGGAAUGAUUUGGCAUAGCAGAGAUAACUGGUUGGGAUCAGGGUAAGGUUGAGAUCAAUUUUAUCAAUCUCAGACUAAUUCAGGCUGGUGAUAAUGUCCCAUUCACAUUUAGAUAAGAGGAAAACAUCAGGGAACAUCAGCACUCUUCAAUCCAUAUGGAAUGAGUCUUCAUCAACUUACAGCUCUUGUCGACAGGAUUUUUUUUUUCUUUUUCUUCAAUAUCCUGGCUCUUAAAAUCAAGAGCCAUCAAGCGGUGCGGGUUCGUAGCUUAGCAAAGUUGUACUAAAUACAACCAGAAUUCAUACAUAGGGAUGGGUACCGGUAUCCGGUGCCAUGAUGGCACCGGUUCUGACAUAAACGGUAGUAACCAGACCGAAAAGCAGCGCACAUUUCGGUGCUUUUUUUUUUCCUGAGCUGUAAUACACUUUUAAUUCUAGCCAAUCAUUUUACGUUUCCGAGGAUAGUAGGCGGGGCCAGGUACGUACGUUCUUUUAGAGCAGAGCUACAGAUUAAAAAUGCCCAAGGCAAAGCGGUCAAAAGUCUGGCUGUACUUCACAGCAAAAUAUGCAAACUCAGCAGCCUGCAACAAGUGCUUUAAGCUGAUACUUUGAUACUGUCAAAGGAGGUAACACCUCAAAUCCGAUUAAACACCUGGCGACGCAUAGCGUUUUUUUUAAAAAGCUGAGAAAUGCGCCGUAUUUGAUAGCUUGCUGUGAGACCUCACACCGAGCACAUCUACUGCGGGUGGGUUGCCUGUUAUGCAACAUCCCCCAAAAACCCGAAGAGGAGAGUCCUGGCCCCUAGCCCUGCCAGUGUAGCAGAAAUGAUGAGGAUGAUGAUGCAGCAGCAGCCGUUCUUCUCUGCGUGAGUAGCUUCAUGUUGUUCGUGUGUAAUUUACGUUGAGUAGGCUAACCACGUUAUUACAUUAAUGCAUGUAAGGUGAACUAGCAAACCUCAUCAUAGCUACAUGCGGCUGUCCUCUUGUUUGAUGGCAGAUACUCCCUUCACCCUGGCCAAAAAGGCAAAAAUGACCAAAGAAAAAGUGGAAAACAGUUAAACAUGAGAGGUUUUUGGACAAAGUUUGUGGUUUUUUUCCAUUGUUUAAGCACUGCUUCCAGCCAAGAGUGAUACCAUAUAUGCCCCAUAGCUGCAGAAAAGGCUAACAUUGUUACCUUUUUACACAAAAAAAAAAAAAAAAAAAAAAAAAAACCACACAGCUGAACAUGAGAGGUUUUUGGACCAAUUUUGUGUUCUCCGUUCUUUAAGCACCGGUACCGUUUCAAAAGUACCGGUUUGGCACCGGUAUUGGAUGAAACCUAAACAAUACCCAUCCCUAUUCAUACAUAAGGUACACGGGAUUAUAAGGGGCACUGUCGAUUUUUAGAAAAAUCAAAAGGAUUGAUUUUAAGUGUGCCAUAUUUUAAAAAAAAAAAAAAAAAACAAAAACAAAAAAACAACAUGGUAAUAACGACGGCCCGCUAGCAUGCUCUACCAAAAAUAGUGCUUUGUUGUGUAUCUGACAGACGAAAGCUAAACCAGUUCCACACCACUGAAGUUGCAGCAUUUUUACAAACCAAUUCUGGCUCAUCCGUUUCAUUCAACAAUCCGCUUUCGCCCUUCUCAUUCUCCGUUCCUGCCAUGUGCGUAUAAAAACAAAGGCACUGCUCAUGCGCGUUUUACCCACAUUGCGAUAUUUCAUUUUCUUAUCGUUGCCCAACAUUAUACCAGUAUUACCAUGAACGGUAUGAUAUGGCCCAGCCUUAGCUAUGAGUAAGAAACACUUUGUUACAGGUUUUACUCCCUUGGUGUAGAAAGAAGCCCCUUUCAAGAUGGUCCAUCUACAUGACCACUGCAGUCUUCAGUGUGUAUGCAGUUUCAGAUAAUGCGUAAUACUCAGACUUUAAUAGGACUUAAAGGAAAUAUUCCUAGCUGGAGCUUCCCUGCAGCGUAACUCAACAUAGAUGCUGUGUGCACAUUUUGUUGAGGGUGGGGAUGAGGCAUCUGUCCGCAUGUUACCAACACAGAUCGCCUCUCUCCAGUCGUAGCCAGUAAUCAUUUAAGAGGAUCAACGCUAUUCCAGACAGCAGAGCGCCUCCACGACGCUCCGUCACCACAACACACACAGCACGUGGCGCACACAUGCUGCCUGCAGCGCUCCAGCGAUUCAUGCGCUCACCCGUGCAUAAGUGCAAAACAGAAAUGAGAGCAGAUUACGUAAUGAGUUAAAAGUAGAAUGUUUCGGGAGGUGAUGUCCUUUUGAUUUUCCACUAGAUGACACUGUGUACGUGUUGGUGGGUGGGGGGUGGAAAUGGAGUAAACAUGGGUAAAGAUACAGGAAAAGUUAGCCAUGUGAACUCCAAAAGUCCUCGAGGGAUCUCUUGAGAUGUAGAAGAACUCAUGUCUCAUUAGUGCAUGACUUAAGUCCAUCAGUAUUAAAAAAAAAAUAAUAAUAAUAAUAAUAAUGUGUUAUGGAUGCCACAUACCUUCUUUUCUCCAACGUGCUAACAUAUCUAAUCAGGACGUCAGCAUGGACAUCCAUAGAGAUUGACAGUAAUACCAAUCAUACAAGCCAGUUUGUUUCUAUGACAUUCAGGCCUUCUAUAAAUUAGAAAUCUACAAGGAUUCUGCUGGACAUCCUUUUAGUUAAGAUGUUUUUAAUGUGAAAGCAAUGGCCUGGUUAAUGUAAUACCACCAGCAGAGAAAAUAGAUGAGUAAUAUCCCAGUCCUUUUUACCCACAGUGUGACGUGGCUGUGGGCCAGUGAACCCUCUGCUGCCUUGCCUUCCUGCAGUCCAAAGAAGUUCUGCUGGACCCGACUAACCCCAAGAGAAUACCAACUCCUCCCCUAUUA
Astatotilapia calliptera (eastern happy) is the source of this 3382-nucleotide long non-coding RNA. NCBI's taxonomy places the organism in Eukaryota, Metazoa, Chordata, Actinopteri, Cichliformes, Cichlidae. The record is from Ensembl.